GACGAACGCUGGCGGCGUGCCUAAUACAUGCCAGUAGAACGCUGAAGGAGGAGCUUGCUUCUCUGGAUGAGUUGCGAACGGGUGAGUAACGCGUAGGUAACCUGCCUGGUAGCGGGGGAUAACUAUUGGAAACGAUAGCUAAUACCGCAUAAUAGCAGUUGUUGCAUGACAACUGUUUGAAAGGUGCAAUUGCACCACUACCAGAUGGACCUGCGUUGUAUUAGCUAGUUGGUGGGGUAACGGCUCACCAAGGCGACGAUACAUAGCCGACCUGAGAGGGUGGUCGGCCACACUGGGACUGAGGCACGGCCCAGACUCCUACGGGAGGCAGCAGGAGGGAAUCUUCGGCAAUGGACGGAAGUCUGACCGAGCAACGCCGCGUGAGUGAAGAAGGGUUUCGGAUCGUAAAGCUCUGUUGUAAGAGAAGAACGAGUGUGAGAGUGGAAAGUUCACACUGUGACGGUAUCUUACCAGAAAGGGACGGCUAACUACGUG
RNAcentral lists this ribosomal RNA (495 nucleotides) under uncultured bacterium. Its description in RNAcentral is "partial 16S ribosomal RNA". It matches the Rfam family "Bacterial small subunit ribosomal RNA", at positions 28 to 507 of the family's 1533-position model. The record is from RNAcentral.